GGGGCGGGGGCACGGGGGGCUACGGGAGGCAGCAGUGGGGAAUUUUGGACAAUGGGCGCAAGCCUGAUCCAGCCAUGCCGCGUGAGUGAAGAAGGCCUUCGGGUUGUAAAGCUCUUUCGGCGGGGAAGAAAUGGCAACGGUUAAUACCUGUUGUUGAUGACGGUACC
RNAcentral lists this ribosomal RNA (167 nucleotides) under uncultured bacterium. Its description in RNAcentral is "partial 16S ribosomal RNA". It matches the Rfam family "Bacterial small subunit ribosomal RNA", at positions 320 to 479 of the family's 1533-position model. The record is from RNAcentral.